GAUGAACGCUAGCGGCAGGCCUAAUACAUGCAAGUCGAGGGGCAGCAUAGUAGCAAUACUGAUGGCGACCGGCGCACGGGUGCGUAACGCGUAUGCAACCUACCCAUUUACUGAGGGAUAGCCCGGAGAAAUUCGGAUUAAUACCUCAUGGUAUCAAGGACAGGCAUUUGUUUUUGAUUAAAGAUUUAUCGGUAAUGGAUGGGCAUGCGUCAGAUUAGCUAGUUGGCGGGGUAACGGCCCACCAAGGCGAUGAUCUGUAGGGGGUCUGAGAGGAUGAUCCCCCACACUGGUACUGAGAUACGGACCAGACUCCUACGGGAGGCAGCAGUAGGGAAUAUUGGUCAAUGGGCGAGAGCCUGAACCAGCCAUGCCGCGUGCAGGAAGAAGGCCCUCUGGGUUGUAAACUGCUUUUAUACAAGAGAAAACCCUGGUACGUGUACCAGGUUGAUAGUAUUGUAAGAAUAAGCAUCGGCUAACUUCGUGCCAGCAGCCG
This 493-nucleotide ribosomal RNA is filed under the name uncultured bacterium. RNAcentral's name for it is "bacterial SSU rRNA". It matches the Rfam family "Bacterial small subunit ribosomal RNA", at positions 28 to 517 of the family's 1533-position model. The record is from RNAcentral.